GUGAAGUGAUUUGUUCUUUAGGAGUGUUUUUCUCUUGAACAGCGCUCCGUGUGGAGACUUGAGGUAGUUCUGUAGUCACAGGUGCACAAAUCAGUCACACAGCUCCAGCUCCACCUGCGCCUCUCGCAGGGAAACGGUUUCUGUGCACUGGCUCCGUCCCAAAUCACCUUGUAUGGAAUCUCUAUCUCUAGUGCACUAGGUGCGGUAGAGACUACAUUUGUUCAGACCGUGUGUAGUGUACCUAGAUACGCAGUCGUGCAGGAUUUGGGCACAGGCCACGCUAAUGAAGCAUCAUCUAUUUCAAGUCAAGUUGCUAUUGUUAAACAUUUCACUAAAACCUGUAUGGAAACGUUGCUGUUCAGUUGUUCUAUAAGCGCAAUUUCAACCAAAUACAUUGGAGUGUAAAAGUUUGUACCCCCUUUUGGUUUCUUGUGGACAGAAGGGUGUUAAAUGUCCUAAACACUACAAAAUUUGACUUGUCCAAAGCCCGUGGUGGUGGCAGUGCAUGGCGUGUGUGUGGGAGCAGGAGUGGAUCUAAUCACAGCCUGUGAUAUUCGUCUAUGCACACAGGAUGCCUUUUUUCAGGUGAAGUCGUGUGUUCCCUGAUAGUCAGUGAUUGCCGGAGCUCUGGAAAUAGCAGGUGAGAUUGCAGGCCGGAGUCCCGUCGCUGUCCAGGGAAUUAAAAUCAACCUCCUCUACUCCUGAGACCACAGUGUAACUGAGAGCCUAGACUACAUGGCUACUUGGAACAUGAACAUGUUGCAGACACAGGAUCUUAUGAAGUCAGCGCAAACAGCCCUGGAAAAGAAGAGUCCGAAAGACGUGCCUUUCUCCAAGCUUUAAAAGAGAAGAUCCAGGGAUGUUGAAGCUGUGGUGGAACUGAGACUUCAUAAU
Ictalurus punctatus (channel catfish) is the source of this 894-nucleotide long non-coding RNA. NCBI's taxonomy places the organism in Eukaryota, Metazoa, Chordata, Actinopteri, Siluriformes, Ictaluridae. The record is from Ensembl.